This 276-nucleotide ribosomal RNA is filed under the name uncultured bacterium. Its description in RNAcentral is "partial 16S ribosomal RNA". The record is from RNAcentral.
GGACUACUAGGGUUUCUAAUCCCGAUCGAUACCCAAGCCUUCGUACCUCAGCGUCAGUUUUUCGUAGUAACAUGCCUUCGCUGCUUUGUAACCCCAUAAGUAUCUAGGUAUUGUUACACUCCUCCUUAGUAUUUGUUACUCCUUUUUACUCUAGUAUGAUAAUAUCAAUUAUUAUUAUUAUAUAAAUUAUUGAUUAGCUAUACCACCUACGUACCCUUUAGACCCAUUAAUGACGAAUAACGCUUGCCUCGCACGUAUUACCGCGGCUGCUGGCAC